CACGUAGGGACCAAGCGUUGUCCGGAUUUAUUGGGCGUAAAGAGCUCGUAGGCGGUUCAGUCAGUCGGGUGUGAAAUCUCCGGGCUCAACCCGGAGGGGCCACCCGAUACUGCUGGACUUGAGUUCGGUAGGGGAGCGGGGAAUUCCUGGUGUAGCGGUGAAAUGCGCAGAUAUCAGGAAGAACACCUAUGGCGAAGGCAGCUCUCUGGGACGGUACUGACGCUGAGACGCGAAAGCGUGGGGAGCGAACAGG
Molecule: ribosomal RNA, 253 nt
Filed under: uncultured bacterium
Lineage: Bacteria
Description: partial 16S ribosomal RNA
Rfam family: Bacterial small subunit ribosomal RNA
Source: RNAcentral